Molecule: ribosomal RNA, 468 nt
Filed under: uncultured bacterium
Lineage: Bacteria
Description: partial 16S ribosomal RNA
Rfam family: Bacterial small subunit ribosomal RNA
Source: RNAcentral
GACGAACGCUGGCGGCGUGCUUAACACAUGCAAGUCGAACGGAAAGGCCCUGCUUUUGUGGGGUGCUCGAGUGGCGAACGGGUGAGUAACACGUGAGUAACCUGCCCUUGACUUUGGGAUAACUUCUGGAAACUGGGGCUAAUACCGGAUAGGAGCUCCUGCUGCAUGGUGGGGGUUGGAAAGUUUCGGCGGUUGGGGAUGGACUCGCGGCUUAUCAGCUUGUUGGUGGGGUAGUGGCUUACCAAGGCUUUGACGGGUAGCCGGCCUGGGAGGGUGACCGGCCACAUUGGGACUGAGAUACGGCCCAGACUCCUACGGGAGGCAGCAGUGGGGAAGAUUGCACAAUGGGCGGAAGCCUGAUGCAGCAACGCCGCGUGCGGGAUGACGGCCUUCGGGUUGUAAACCGCUUUCGCCUGUGACGAAGCGUGAGUGACGGUAAUGGGUAAAGAAGCACCGGCUAACUACGUG